RNAcentral lists this long non-coding RNA (557 nucleotides) under Bos taurus (domestic cattle). RNAcentral's name for it is "long non-coding RNA NONBTAT024616". Lineage: Eukaryota; Metazoa; Chordata; Mammalia; Artiodactyla; Bovidae. The record is from RNAcentral.
CGAUAGCGAGUUAUGAAUGAGCAAAGAUGGUAGAAUAUUCUUCAGGAAGGCUCUUGCAGGCUCUCAUUUGGCCAUCUGUGGAAACUAAGUUCUAGCCACAAGCAGCUGAUGUCAUUCAGUGUCAAGGACAGAUCUCUGGUGUAAAAGUAAGCCAUUUCUACCUAACUCCCCUUGCUUCUUAGAUGAAGAUUGACAAAUAUAAGACAAUCAGCACCAGCACGUGGAGGGCAGCCCGGAGCAGUCCUCUAACAAGCCCCAACAGGAGCUGCUCCUUUUCCCUUCACCUUUGCUCCAGGAGGCCGAUAGCGGGCUUGAGCCUUAAAAAGCUAAUUUUCCCAGCUUGUUAUAACCUAAUCAGUGACGGGCAAAGUGGCAAUCCUUCAGUUCCACUUCCUAGAGGAAUUGCUUCCUUAAAGGGUCAACCAGGGUCCCCUUACUUUGUGAGAUAGACGUCUUCUUACCUGCGGCAUCUUGAAUCUUUGGAGUUCUCUUACCUAAUUUCCUCAAAGUGAAAAGCAGACAGUACAGGUGCUUUACAUUGCUUAGACUGGCAUUUA